RNAcentral lists this long non-coding RNA (957 nucleotides) under Pan troglodytes (chimpanzee). RNAcentral describes it as "long non-coding RNA NONPTRT016527". The record is from RNAcentral. Lineage: Eukaryota; Metazoa; Chordata; Mammalia; Primates; Hominidae.
GGGCAGCCCCAGACGCAGAGCCCUGUGCCACUUGCGUCCCUGGGCUUUCUGCCCGACAAGGACGGGGGGCUGGACAGAGAGCCGUGUCUGCAGAGACCCAAAUCCGGGGUCAGGUUUGUGUUUCUGUGGACACGUCUGUCCACAAAGAGGGCAGUGGGCAAUUGUUCUCUUCAUCGAAGAAUGGUUUUUGUCAACGUUCAGUGAGAUCAUUUCACCAGUGAGGUGGCCACAGCGGCGCUUUCUCUACCCAAACCUCACUUCCUCUCGCUGAAGGGGUUCCAGUCUCGAUCAUCAGUGAAGUCCUUCCACAUCCAUGGGGCGUCCACCAACUAGGAGCUUAAUCAACUCAACGCUGUGGCCUCUCCAGCUCAGGGACGUGCCUUUUCCGUGUCUUCUUCUCACACACAAACGUAGCCUGCAAGGAAGGUCAGGUUCAAUGCACGGAAUCUACCCUGCUGCCCGCUAGGAGGUCAUAUGUGUAUCACAGACCCGCAGAGAAUGCUCUCCACAGUACAUGAGGCGCGGUACAAAUGGAAUGAGUGUAACGCGCAUUCUCUGUUUGAAAAAAGUUAUCCCAAUUGAAUAGUCGGUAAUUUCUCUUUAUUGUAACCCAAUAGAUCACAAAAUGCAACCUGAGGUUUAAGCUGAGGGGUGGGGCGUUUGCAGAGGGCUGUGGUGGAGGUUAGAUUAGGUUUACAGAAGGCUGUGUGGUGGAGGUUAGGUUAGGUUUGCAGAAUGCUGUGUGGUGGAGGUUGGGUUAGGUUUGCAGAAGGCUGUGUGGUGGAGGUUAGGUUAGGUUUGCAGAGGGCUGUGGUGGAGGUUAGGUUAGGUUUACAGAAGGCUGUGUGGUGUGGAGGUUAGGUUAGGUUUACAGAGGGCUGUGUGGUGGAGGUUAGGUUAGGUUUACAGAAGGCUGUGUGGUGGAGGUUAGGUUAGGUUUGCAGAGGGCUGUGUGAU